This 494-nucleotide ribosomal RNA is filed under the name uncultured bacterium. Its description in RNAcentral is "bacterial SSU rRNA". It matches the Rfam family "Bacterial small subunit ribosomal RNA", at positions 29 to 507 of the family's 1533-position model. The record is from RNAcentral.
AUGAACGCUAGCGGCAGGCUUAAUACAUGCAAGUCGAGGGGCAUCAAGGUACACGAAAGUGUAUUGUUGGCGACCGGCGGACGGGUGAGUAAUAGGUAGGUAACCUACCUCAUACUGAGGCAUAGCUGGGAGAAAUUCCAGGUAAUUCCUCAUGAGGUUAUAUGACACAUGUGAUAUAAUCAAAGGUAUCGCAAGGUACUGGUAUGAGAUGGGCUUACUGACCAUUAGCUAGUUGGUGAGAUAAGAGCUCACCAAGGCGAAGAUGGUUAGGGGUUUUGAGAGAGAGAUCCCCCACAUUGGAACUGAGAUACGGUCCAGACUCCUACGGGAGGCAGCAGUAGGGAAUAUUGGGCAAUGGGCGAAAGCCUGACCCAGCCAUGCCGCGUGAAGGAAGACGGCCUUAUGGGUUGUAAACUUCUUUACUACGCGAAUAGAGGUUAGUACGAGAUACUAAUAGGAAGGUAGUGUAGUAAAAAGCACCGGCUAACUCCGUG